This 614-nucleotide ribosomal RNA is filed under the name uncultured bacterium. RNAcentral describes it as "bacterial SSU rRNA". It matches the Rfam family "Bacterial small subunit ribosomal RNA", at positions 834 to 1448 of the family's 1533-position model. The record is from RNAcentral.
CGGGGCUUAGUGCCGGAGCUAACGCAAUAAGCACUCCGCCUGGGGAGUACGACCGCAAGGUUGAAACUCAAAGGAAUUGACGGGGGCCCGCACAAGCGGUGGAGCAUGUGGUUUAAUUCGAAGCAACGCGAAGAACCUUACCAGGUCUUGACAUCCCGAUGCUAUUCUUAGAGAUAGGAAGUUACUUCGGUACAUCGGAGACAGGUGGUGCAUGGUUGUCGCCAGCUCGUGUCGUGAGAUGUUGGGUUAAGUCCCGCAACGAGCGCAACCCUUAUUGUUAGUUGCCAUCAUUAAGUUGGGCACUCUAGCGAGACUGCCGGUAAUAAACCGGAGGAAGGUGGGGAUGACGUCAAAUCAUCAUGCCCCUUAUGACCUGGGCUACACACGUGCUACAAUGGUCGGUACAACGAGUUGCGAGCCGGUGACGGCAAGCUAAUCUCUGAAAGCCGAUCUCAGUUCGGAUUGGAGGCUGCAACUCGCCUCCAUGAAGUCGGAAUCGCUAGUAAUCGCGGAUCAGCACGCCGCGGUGAAUACGUUCCCGGGCCUUGUACACACCGCCCGUCACACCACGAGAGUUUGUAACACCCGAAGUCGGUGAGGUAACCUUUUAGGGG